This 275-nucleotide ribosomal RNA is filed under the name uncultured bacterium. RNAcentral describes it as "partial 16S ribosomal RNA". It matches the Rfam family "Bacterial small subunit ribosomal RNA", at positions 84 to 354 of the family's 1533-position model. The record is from RNAcentral.
CCUGCCGGCGACCGGCGCACGGGUGAGUAACACGUAUGCGACCGUGACCCCCCGCAGGGGGAUAACCGGGAGAAAUCCCGACUAAUACCGCGUAACGCCGCGGACCUGCAUGGGUCUGCGGCCAAAGGAAGCGAUUCCGGCGGGGGAUGGGCAUGCGGCGCAUUAGCUAGUCGGCGGGUAACGGCCCACCGAGGCGACGAUGCGUAGGGGUUCUGAGAGGAAGGUCCCCCACACUGGUACUGAGACACGGACCAGACUCCUACGGGAGGCAGCAG